CAUUCUUUACAACACAACAAACAAAUUAUUCAACAAAUAUGACUAAUAUUCAAACAUCAACAUCACAAGCAUCUACAACUGGAAUUCAAGUCACAAAUGGCACAUCAACAAUAUUGACAACAGCCAGUCCUAUCAGCGCUCUGUCGACAUCAGCAACAACAAUUUUACCUCUGUCAUCAUCAAUAAACCUUUUAUCAACGGCAACAAGCAAAACUACUUCUUUUGGAUUGUCCGCCACUUCAAUUAGUUUCACUAAAACUAAUGCCCAAUCUCAAAGUACGACGACAUAUGUUAAUUCCUCAUCAACGACUAUCUUCAUCAAUACUGAAACAUCAAAUCAAAGUCCAACAAUCUCCAAUUUAACGAGUUCAGCUGUUCCACCAGCUACAAACACAACUCAAAUGCCAACUAUUGAAAUAUCAACUUCACCAAGUACGUUAUCGUCUACGCAAACAAGCCAAUGGCAAAGUACCACACAAUCUACAAUUGCAUCCACGUUGACGUUUCAACAUAAUACAAGCCUUAACACAACACAGCAAAUGACACCAACCUUACCAACAAGUUCCUUAUUUUCUGGGACAACAAAAGGAUUGACAACCUGGACAGUGAGCUCCACCACCCCUUCACCAUCAAUCAAUUAUACAUCACCUCUCUCUGUUGGAUCUUCAGCAUAUCCUACAAAAGUUAGUGCAUCCACUUCAGGAACUGCCCUUCAAACUUCUAGUCGUUCAACAACAACCGGACAAAAUAUUGAUACGUCAACAAUAUCACUUGGAUCAUAUUCAAGUCCAUCCAUACCAAAUGCGGCAUCUACCGGAGCAAAUCCAUUGUCAUCUACAUUCCUUACAACACAACAAACAAAUUAUUCAACAAAUAUGACUAAUAUUCAAACAUCAACAUCACAAGCAUCUACAACUGGAAUUCAAGUCACAAAUGGCACAUCAACAAUAUUGACAACAGCCACUCCUAUCAGCGCUCUGUCGACAUCAGCAACAACAAUUUUACCUCUGUCAUCAUCAAUAAACCUUUUAUCAACAGCGACAAGCAAAACUACUUCUUUUGGAUUGUCCGCCACUUCAAUUAGUUUCACUAAAACUAAUGCCCAAUCUCAAAGUGCGACGACAUAUGUUAAUUCCUCAUCAACGACUACCUUCAUCAAUACUGAAACAUCAAAUCAAAGUCCAACAAUCUCCAAUUUAACGAGUUCAGCUGUUCCACCAGCUACAAACACAACUCAAAUGCCAACGAUUGAAAUAUCAACUUCACCAAGUACGUUAUCGUCUACGCAAACAAGCCAAUGGCAAAGUACCACACAAUCUACAAUUGCAUCCACGUUGACGUUUCAACAUAAUACAAGCCUUAACACAACACAGCAAAUGACACCAACCUUACCAACAAGUUCCUUAUUUUCUGGGACAACAAAAGGAUUGACAACCUGGACAGUGAGCUCCACCACCCCUUCACCAUCAAUCAAUUAUACAUCACCUCUCUCUGUUGGAUCUUCAGCAUAUCCUACAAAUGUUAGUGCAUCCACUUCAGGAACUGCCCUUCAAACUUCUACUGGUUCAACAACAACUGGACCAAAUAUUCAUAUGUCAACAAUUUCACGUGGAUCAUAUUCAAGUCCAUCCAUACCAAAUGCGGCAUCUACUGGAGCAAACCCAUUGUCAUCUACAUUCCUUACAACACAACGAACAAAUUAUUCAACAAAUAUGACUAAUAUUCAAACAUCAACAUCACAAGCAUCUACAACUGGAAUUCAAGUCACAAAUGGCACAUCAACAAUAUUGACAACAGCCACUCCUAUCAGCGCUCUGUCGACAUCAGCAACAACAAUUUUACCUCUGUCAUCAUCAAUAAACCUUUUAUCAACGGCAACAAGCAAAACUACAUCUUUUGGAUUGUCCGCCACUUCAAUUAGUUUCACUAAAACUAAUGCCCAAUCUCAAAGUGCGACGACAUAUGUUAAUUCCUCAUCAACGACUACCUUCAUCAAUACCGAAACAUCAAAUCAAACUCCAACAAUCUCCAAUUUACCAAGUUCAGCUGUUCCACCAGCUACAAACACAACUCAAAUGCCAACUAUUGAAAUAUCAACUUCACCAAGAACGUUAUCAUCUACGCAAACAAGCCAAUGGCAAAGUACCACACAUUCUACAAUUGCAUCCAUGUUGACGUUUCAACAUAAUACAAGCCUUAACACAACACAGCAAAUGACUCCAACCUUACCAACAAGUUCCUUUUUUUCUGGGACAACAAAAGGAUUGACAACCUGGACAGUGAGCUCCACCACCCCUUCACCAUCAAUCAAUUAUACAUCACCUCUCUCUGUUGGAUCUUCAGCAUAUCCUACAAAUGUUAGUGCAUCCACUUCAGGAACUGCCCUUCAAACUUCUAGUCGUUCAACAACAACCGGACCAAAUAUUGAUACGUCAACAAUAUCACUUGGAUCAUAUUCAAGUCCAUCCAUACCAAAUGCGGCAUCUACCGGAGCAAAUCCAUUCUCAUCUACAUUCUUUACAACACAACAAACACAUUAUUCAACAAAUAUGACUAAUAUUCAAACAUCAACAUCACAAGCAUCUACAACUGGAAUUCAAGUCACAAAUGGCACAUCAACAAUAUUGACAACAGCCACUCCUAUCAGCGCUCUGUCGACAUCAGCAACAACAAUUUUACCUCUGUCAUCAUCAAUAAACCUUUUAUCAACGGCAACAAGCAAAACUACUUCUUUUGGAUUGUCCGCCACUUCAAUUAGUUUCACUAAAACUAAUACCCAAUCUCAAAGUACGACGACAUAUAUGAAUUCCUCAUCAACGACUACCUUCAUCAAUACUGAAACAUCAAAUCAAAGUCCAACAAUCUCCAAUUUAACGAGUUCAGCUGUUCCACCAGCUACAAACACAACUCAAAUGCCAACUAUUGAAAUAUCAACUUCACCAAGAACGUUAUCAUCUACGCAAACAAGCCAAUGGCAAAGUACCACACAAUCUACAAUUGCAUCCACGUUGACGUUUCAACAUAAUACAAGCCUUAACACAACACAGCAAAUGACACCAACCUUACCAACAAGUUCCUUUUUUUCUGGGACAACAAAAGGAUUGACAACCUGGACAGUGAGCUCCACCACCCCUUCACCAUCAAUCAAUUUUACAUCACCUCUCUCUGUUGGAUCUUCAGCAUAUCCUACAAAAGUUAGUGCAUCCACUUCAGGAAUUGCCCUUCAAACUUCUAGUUGUUCAACAACAACCGGACAAAAUAUUGAUACGUCAACAAUAUCACUUGGAUCAUAUUCAAGUCCAUCCAUACCAAAUGCGGCAUCUACCGGAGCAAAUCCAUUGUCAUCUACAUUCCUUACAACACAACAAACAAAUUAUUCAACAAAUAUGACUAAUAUUCAAACAUCAACAUCACAAGCAUCUACAACUGGAAUUCAAGUCACAAAUGGCACAUCAACAAUAUUGACAACAGCCACUCCUAUCAGCGCUCUGUCGACAUCAGCAACAACAAUUUUACCUCUGUCAUCAUCAAUAAACCUUUUAUCAACAGCGACAAGCAAAACUACUUCUUUUGGAUUGUCCGCCACUUCAAUUAGUUUCACUAAAACUAAUGCCCAAUCUCAAAGUGCGACGACAUAUGUUAAUUCCUCAUCAACGACUACCUUCAUCAAUACUGAAACAUCAAAUCAAAGUCCAACAAUCUCCAAUUUAACGAGUUCAGCUGUUCCACCAGCUACAAAUACAACUCAAAUGCCAACGAUUGAAAUAUCAACUUCACCAAGUACGUUAUCGUCUACGCAAACAAGCCAAUGGCAAAGUACCCCGCAAUCUACAAUUGCAUCCACGUUGACGUUUCAACACAAUACAAGCCUUAACACAACACAGCAAAUGACACCAACCUUACCAACAAGUUCCUUAUUUUCUGGGACAACAAAAGGAUUGACAACCUGGACAGUGAGCUCCACCACCCCUUCACCAUCAAUCAAUUAUACAUCACCUCUCUCUGUUGGAUCUUCAGCAUAUCCUACAAAUGUUAGUGCAUCCACUUCAGGAACUGCCCUUCAAACUUCUACUGGUUCAACAACAACUGGACCAAAUAUUCAUAUGUCAACAAUUUCACGUGGAUCAUAUUCAAGUCCAUCCAUGACAAAUGCGGCAUCUACUGGAGCAAACCCAUUGUCAUCUACAUUCCUUACAACACAACAAACUAAUUAUUCAACAAAUAUGACUAAUAUUCAAACAUCAACAUUACAAGCAUCUACAACUGGAAUUCAAGUCACAAAUGGCACAUCAACAAUAUUGUCAACAGCCACUCCUAUCAGCGCUCUGUCGACAUCAGCAACAACAAUUGUACCUCUAUCAUCAUCAAUAAACCUUUUAUCAACGGCAACAAGCAAAACUACAUCUUUUGGAUUGUCCGCCACUUCAAUUAGCUUCACUAAAACUAAUGCCCAAUCUCAAAGUCCGACGACAUAUGUUAAUUCCUCAUCAACGACUACCUUCAUCAAUACUGAAACAUCAAAUCAAAGUCCAACAAUCUCCAAUUUAACGAGUUCAGCUGUUCCACCAGCUACAAACACAACUCAAAUGCCAACUAUUGAAAUAUCAACUUCACCAAGAACGUUAUCAUCUACGCAAACAAGCCAAUGGCAAAGAACCACACAAUCUACAAUUGCAUCCACGUUGACGUUUCAACAUAAUACAAGCCUUAACACAACACAGCAAAUGACACCAACCUUACCAACAAGUUCCUUUUUUUCUGGGACAACAAAAGGAUUGACAACCUGGACAGUGAGCUCCACCACCCCUUCACCAUCAAUCAAUUUUACAUCACCUCUCUCUGUUGGAUCUUCAGCAUAUCCUACAAAAGUUAGUGCAUCCACUUCAGGAAUUGCCCUUCAAACUUCUAGUCGUUCAACAACAACCCGACAAAAUAUUGAUACGUCAACAAUAUCACUUGGAUCAUAUUCAAGUCCAUCCAUACCAAAUGCGGCAUCUACCGGAGCAAAUCCAUUGUCAUCUACAUUCUUUACAACACAACAAACAAAUUAUUCAACAAAUAUGACUAACAUUCAAACAUCAACAUCACAAGCAUCUACAACUGGAAUUCAAGUCACAAAUGGCACAUCAACAAUAUUGACAACAGCCACUCCUUUCAGCGCUCUGUCGACAUCAGCAACAACAAUUUUACCUCUGUCAUCAUCAAUAAACCUUUUAUCAACGGCAACAAGCAAAACUACUUCUUUUGGCUUGUCCGCCACUUCAAUUAGUUUCACUAAAACUAAUGCCCAAUCUCAAAGUACGACGACAUAUAUGAAUUCCUCAUCAACGACUACCUUCAUCAAUACUGAAACAUCAAAUCAAACUCGAACAAUCUCCAAUUUAACGAGUUCAGCUGUUCCACCAGCUACAAACACAACUCAAAUGCCAACGAUUGAAAUAUCAACUUCACCAAGUACGUUAUCGUCUAUGCAAACAAGCCAAUGGCAAAGUACCACACAAUCUACAAUUGCAUCCACGUUCACGUUUCAACAUAAUACAAGCCUUAAUACAACAAAGCAAAUGACACCAACCUUACCAACAAGUUCCUUAUUUUCUGGGACAACAAAAGGAUUGACAACCUGGACAGUGAGCUCCACCACCCCUUCACCAUCAAUCAAUUCUACAUCACCUCUCUCUGUUGGAUCUUCAGCAAAUCCUACAAAUGUUAGUGCAUCCACUUCAGGAACUGCCCUUCAAACUUCUACUGGUUCAACAACAACGGGACCAAAUAUUCAUAUGUCAACAAUUUCACGUGGAUCAUAUUCAAGUCCAUCCAUGACAAAUGUGGCAUCUACUGGAGCAAACCCAUUAUCAUCUACAUUCCUUACAACACAACAAACUACUUAUUCAACAAAUAUGACUAAUAUUCAAACAUCAACAUUACAAGCAUCUACAACUGGAAUUCAAGUCACAAAUGGCACAUCAACAAUAUUGACAACAGCGACUCAUAUCAGCGCUCUGUCGACAUCAGCAACAACGAUUUUACCUCUGUCAUCAUCACUAAAACUUUUAUCAAUGGCAACAAGCAAUACUACUUCUUUUGGACUGUCCGAAACGUCAAUUAGUUUCACUAAAACUAAUACCCAAUCUCAAAGUACGAUGACAAAUGUUAAUUCCUCAUCAACGACUACCUUUAUCAAUACCGAAACAUCAAAUCAAACUCGAACAAUCUCCAAUUUACCGAGUUCAGCUGUUCCACCAGCCACAAAUACAACUCAAAUGGCAACGAUUGAAAUAUCAACUUCACCAAAUAGGUUAUCGUCUACGCAAACAAGCCAAUGGCAAAGUACCACGCAAUCUACAAUUGCAUCCACGUUCACGUUUCAACAUAAUACAAGCCUUAAUACAACACAGCAAAUGACACCAACCUUACCAACAAAUUCCUUAUUUUCUGGGACAACAAAAGGAUUGACAACCUGGACAGUGAGCUCCACAACUCCUUCACCAUCAAUCAAUUAUACAUCACCUCUCUCUGUUGGAUCUUCAGCAUAUCCUACAAAUGUUAGUGCAUCCACUUCAGGAACUGCCCUUCAAACUUCUACUGGUUCAACAACAACUGGACCAAAUAUUCAUACGUCAACAAUUUUACGUGGAUCAUAUUCAAGUCCAUCCAUGACAAAUGCGGCAUCUACUGGAGCAAACACAUUAUCAUCUACAUUCCUUACAACACAACAAACUAAUUAUUCAACAAAUAUGACUAAUAUUCAAACAUCAACAUUACAAGCAUCUACAACUGGAAUUCAAGUCACAAAUGGCACAUCAACAAUAUUGACAACAGCCACUCCUAUCAGCGCUCUGUCGACAUCAGCAACAACAAUUUUAACUCUGUCGUCAUCAUUAAAACUUUUAUCAACGGCAACAAGCAAUACUACUUCUUUCGGAUUGUCCGAAACUUCAAUUAGUUUCACUAAAACUAAUACCCAAUCUCAAAGUACGACGACAAAUGUUAAUUCCUCAUCAACGACUACCUUUAUGAAUACCGAAACAUCAAAUCAAACUCCAACAAUCUUCAAUUUACCAAGUUCACCUGUUUCACCAGCCACAAACACAACUCAAAUGCCAACGAUUGAAAUAUCAACUUCACCAAAUACAUUAUCGUCUACGCAAUCAAGCCAAUGGCAAAGUACGACACAAUCUACAAUUGCAUCCACGUUCACGUUUCAACAUAAUACAAGCCUUAACACAACACAGCAAAUGACGCAGAGCUCACCAAGAAGUUCCUUAUUUUCUUGGACAACAAAAGGAUUGACAACCUGGACUGUGAGUUCCACCAAUCCUUCACCAUCAAUCAAUUAUACAUCACCUCUCUCUGUUGGAUCUUCAGCAUAUCCUACAAAUGUUAGUGCAUCCACUUCAGGAACUGCCCUUCAAACUUCUACUCGUUCAACAACAACCGGACCAAAUAUUGAUACGUCAACAAUAUCACUUGGAUCGUAUUCAAGUCCAUCCAUACCAAAUGCGACAUCUACCGGAGCAAAUCCAUUGUCAUCUACAUUCCUUACAACACAACAAACAAAUUAUUCAACAAAUAUGACUAAUAUUCAAACAUCAACAUCACAAGCAUCUACAACUGGAAUUCAAGUCACAAAUGGCACAUCAACAAUAUUGACAACAGCCACUCCUAUCAGCGCUCUGUCGACAUCAGCAACAACAAUUUUACCUCUGUCAUCAUCAAUAAACCUUUUAUCAACGGCAACAAGCAAAACUACUUCUUUUGGAUUGUCCGCCACUUCAAUUAGUUUCACUAAAACUAAUGCCCAAUCUCAAAGUACGACGACAUAUGUUAAUUCCUCAUCAACGACUACCUUCAUCAUUACUGAAACAUCAAAUCAAAGUCCAACAAUCUCUAAUUUAACGAGUUCAGCUGUUCCACCAGCUACAAACACAACUCAAAUGCCAAUGAUUGAAAUAUCAACUUCACCAAGUACGUUAUCGUCUACGCAAACAAGCCAAUGGCAAAGUACCACACAAUCUACAAUUGCAUCCACGUUGACGUUUCAACAUAAUACAAGCCUUAACUCAACACAGCAAAUGACAACAAACCUACCAACAAGUUCCUUAUUUUCUGGGACAACAAAAGGAAUGGCAACCUGGACAGUGAGCUCCACCACCUCUUCACCAUCAAUCAAUUAUACAUCACCUCUCUCUGUUGGAUCUUCAGCAUAUCCUACAAAUGUUAGUGCAUCCACUUCAGGAACUGCCCUUCAAACUUCUACUGGUUCAACAACAACUGGACCAAAUAUUCAUACGUCAACAAUUUCACGUGGAUCAUAUUCAAGUCCAUCCAUGACAAAUGCGGCAUCUACUGGAGCAAACCCAUUGUCAUCUACAUUCAUUACAACACAACAAACUAAUUAUUCAACAAAUAUGACUAAUAUUCAAAUAUCAACAUUACAAGCAUUUACAACUGGAAUUCAAGUCACAAAUGGCACAUCAACAGUAUUGACAACAGCCACUCCUAUCAGUGCUCUGUCGACAUCAGCAACAACAAUUUUACCUCUAUCAUCAUCAUUAAACCUUUUAUCAACGGCAACAAGCAAAAUUACUUCUUUUGGAUUGUCCGCCACUUCAAUUAGCUUCACUAAAACUAAUGACCAAUCUCAAAGUACGAUGACAUAUGUUAAUUCCUCAUCAACGACUACCUUUAUCAAUACCGAAACAUCAAAUCAAACUCCAACAAUCUCCAAUUUAUCAAGUUCAGCUGUUUCACCAGCCACAAACACAACUCAAAUGCCAACGAUUGAAAUAUCAACUUCACCAAAUACGUUAUCGUCUACACAAACAAGCCAAUGGCAAAGUAUCACACAAUCUACAAUUGCAUCCACGUUGACAUUUCAAUAUAAUACAAGCCUUAACACAACACAGCAAAUGACGCAAACCUCACCAACAAGUUCCUUAUUUUCUGGGACAACAAAAGGAUUGACAACCUGGACGGUGAGCUCCACCACUCCUUCACCAUCAAUCAAUUACACAUCAACUCUCUCUUUUGGAUAUUCAGCAUAUCCUACAAAUGUUAGUGCAUCCACUUCAGGAACUGCCCUUCAAACUUCUACUGGUUCAACAACAACCGGAACAAAUAUUCAUACGUCAACAAUUUCACUUGGAUCAUAUUCAAGUCCAUCCAUGACAAAUGCGGCAUCUAUUGGAGCAAACCCAUUGUCAUCUACAUUCCUUACAACGCAACAAACAAAUAAUUCAACAAAUAUGACUAAUAUUCCAACAUCAACAUUAAAAGCAUCUACAACUGGAAUUCAAGUCACAAAUGGCACAUCAACAAUAUUGACAACAGCCACUCCUAUCAGUGCUCUGUCGACAUCAGCAACAACAAUUUUACCUCUGUCAUCAUCACUAAACCUUUUAUCAACGGCAACACGCAAAGCUACUUCUUUUGGAUCGUCGGCCUUCAAUGCAAAAUCUUCAGCGUCCAUCCUUGGAUUUCCCACUACAUUAUUUUAUAAAUCAUUCGGUGUUAAAUUUAAUAUUAUAAACCAACAGUUUUCGUCAGAACUUUACAACAUUUCAUCUCCGUAUUACAUUGGAUUACAAUCAAACAUUACUCAAUUGCCCUGUAUUCCUCAACGUGUACAGUAUCUGCACAUUCAUAUCAAAUGAGAGCAGUAUCAAUGAAUUAAAUGCCACAACCGUCUACUACAACAUUGUUAAAAACCUACAAAAUGGCCUCCUUGGAGAAUAUCAACUGGACAUGGAAAGCAUUACAAUAACAGGUAAUAUAUACAUAACCUUUAGCCAACUGGAAUACAUAUCUUCAUCAUCAUAAGCUACUGUCAAUCUAAUGUUGGAUAAAGGCCUCCCAAAGUCACCACCACCCCCCGCAAUCCUGCAAUGGAAUCAUGUACCCUUGGACACGUUCCAUUUCUUGGCUCCCACUGUUUCUCCAAGGGCUACCAUUUAUAAAUUGCCAAUGAUCAUUGUAAGUUGGGGAAAGGAUAGGAAGCAAUGAGAAACUUAUCUGAACCCAUAAAAGACAUUAAGAAGAGGCGACAUGUAAAAAUAGCUGAAAAUGCACCAAUAAAGAUGAAUUACAUGGAACUCUGUAGAACGAUGCAACGAAUGAGAAAAGACAUCUGGCAAUGUAACACAUUGAAAUUGUAGCAAGCAUUGGAAGCAUGCAAGCAAAAACAAAAAAUCCAUUCGUUAUUUCAUUCUGAAGUGCUCGUUAGAUGCUAUUUUUUUUCCUUUAGAAUAAUGAUGUGCAUUCCGUGAAAUAAGUUGCAAGCUUGAUGAUAAAUGCAAUGACAACUUUUUUUUGGUAUUGAGCUUAAAGAAAAAUUAUUGCAAUUUCUGGGGGGUAGCGGUAGGUGAGUUUUGGACCCCAAUAGAUUUUCACACCUUCCCCUCCGUCUCUUCACGCAUCUCAUUUGUAAAUAAAUUAAAAGAGAUUGUGAUAAAUGUUAUUGGUAAAUAACGACUUUACAAAAUUACUGACGUGGAUAUUUUCCCCACUCAUGUUGAUGCCUUAAUUUAUCGAGUGCAAUUUUCUGAAAAACAUCGAAUUGUAAAUGUUGUGGGUUUACUCUCCAUCAUACCGUUGCGCUAAACUAGUAACGAAUUGGCAUGUUUUGUUUACGUGACAAACCUUCUUACCAAUUGGCUGUGUCGGGUGGUGGUGGAUUUAACUACAUUUAUAUUUAUGCGAUCUAACCCAAAACCCUCUAUUAUGGAUAUUGGUCGCGAAAGCCUACUUGUUAAACUGAUCUUCUAUUGUAACUGUGAAUAUCCUUGGUGAGAUUGUAUGUAUGUUGAAUUUCUUUCACACUGUACAUAGCCAACCCUGCUAAUCGGAGGUGUUACUUCUUUUUUUAUGUAACCUUAGUGUAGCUAUUUCAUCUUCUUAAAUUAUUUUGAUAAUCAUUCAUAUUGACAAUUUAUUUAUAUAUAUUUUUUAUGAUGGCCAGGUUUGUGAGAACUUGCUACAGUCUACAAACGCUAUGCAUAAUGACACAUUACUUACUGUAAUGUAUUUGUGUGUGAUUCAGAAAGGGAUGCUUUUGGCGCUACCUCACAGCAGAGUGUUGCGGCCGCCUUGCCCUUUUGGGUCAUCUUUGCCAUCACCCUGUCGUGUUUGCUGCUUGCUGUGCUACUUCACUGCUGUUGCUGCUUGUGGCUGAUUGCCUGCUGUAGACGGCGAUAUUACCGAAAAAGAAAGCACUGGCAUAGAGUAUAUAUUUAUCAUGUCGUCUAAUACCUUUGGAAACCAGGACUUCAGAAACAUAUUAAAGGUGUUUCUUUUAUUGAACGGCGUGCCUCGCGGUAUGUGGACCACAGAGCAAGGCUCAAAAAUAUGCCCGUUGCUAAAUUGAAGAUUUAAAUACUUUUGGUCAUACCCUACUUCAAUAAUUCCAUGUAAUAUCUUUGUUUUGAUAAAGUCAGUAGCAAAGAAUGAUUUUCUAGAUAACACACUCCCCGAGCCUCUUUGUGCCUUCUUUAGCUCUCUUUUUUAUGGUUGUGUACUCUUAGAGCACAGUUCUUUUUUUUUGGUUGUGAUGCAUUGAAUAAUAAAAAUAUAAUGUAGACCUUUCAAUUAAAGAACUGGUGUAUCUUUAUUAUGGUGUAUCAUCUUUGGUCACUUAUUAUUGAAAAUUCGAGUACAAGCAUUGUUAUAGAUUAUGUAUUUCUCACAUGUUUGUGGAUUUGUGACCGAGGACACACAGAUGAGUAUACAGCAUAUGUAUAAGCAAAUCGUUAAUAUAUGCACGACUUUCAAUGAAUGCGAGUACGUGUACAGCUCUUUGUCAAUAUGCUGCUGGUUAAAGGCAUCUCCCACCGUGCUCGUGGGAGUUAUUUUACCAUACUUUACCAUGCUGAUGAGUACGGUUUAAUGGUGGGAAAAACAGAUGCAGGAGCAUAUAAGCACAGUUCAACAAUUACAGUGCGCAAAAGAUGAUUGAAUGCUUAUCUAAUAAAAUGUCAUUCCCUGAGCAAACUUUUUAAAUUGAAAUUAUUGGGGUAGUGCAUCAAAAAUCAGCACGACAUUGUCUUUAUAUAAUUGAAUAACAAGCUUGUUAAUGACCCAGCUCUCAUUGCCUCUCUUACCUCUCUAUCCCAUUGCCACUCCGCUCCCUCUCUGCCUUUGCUGGUAUUUCUCGACUCAGUGUUUUCCCGAAGUCUCUAACAUUGUUCCUCCACUCUUUGAAACUGUGUUUUACUUACCUUGCAUCAACUUGCUAUGCAAAUUGUGUGUCCUUGCUGACCCGGCACACAAAACAAAUUUGCUUCCCCCUUCACACACUAUACAACUAUACUCUAUUAUUUUCUGUGGUCUUUCCACUAAGAUUAUCACUUGCAGUGUUUUAAGUAUAUGCUGAGUAUUCUUGGUUCUUUCGGUAAAGUCACGUAGAAGGGAAACAAUAAGUAAUAAAAAUAUAAAACAAUAAAAUUAU
Molecule: non-coding RNA, 12442 nt
Organism: Petromyzon marinus (sea lamprey)
Lineage: Eukaryota; Metazoa; Chordata; Hyperoartia; Petromyzontiformes; Petromyzontidae
Source: RefSeq, a predicted model, not a curated record